Molecule: ribosomal RNA, 450 nt
Filed under: uncultured bacterium
Lineage: Bacteria
Description: partial 16S ribosomal RNA
Rfam family: Bacterial small subunit ribosomal RNA
Source: RNAcentral
GUGGGGAAUUUUGGACAAUGGGCGCAAGCCUGAUCCAGCAAUGCCGCGUGUGUGAAGAAGGCCUUCGGGUUGUAAAGCACUUUUGGCAGGAAAGAAAUAGUGCGUGCUAAUACCAUGCGCGAAUGACGGUACCUGCAGAAUAAGCACCGGCUAACUACGUGCCAGCAGCCGCGGUAAGACGUAGGGUGCAAGCGUUAAUCGGAAUUACUGGGCGUAAAGCGUGCGCAGGCGGUUUUGUAAGACAGGUGUGAAAUCCCCGGGCUCAACCUGGGAACUGCACUUGUGACUGCAAGGCUAGAGUGUGUCAGAGGGAGGUGGAAUUCCGCGUGUAGCAGUGAAAUGCGUAGAGAUGCGGAGGAACACCGAUGGCGAAGGCAGCCUCCUGGGAUAACACUGACGCUCAGGCACGAAAGCGUGGGGAGCAAACAGGAUUAGAUACCCCAGUAGUCC